GCUAUCUAUGUUUAUAACAAAGAGCGAGAGUGCAAGGCUUGUCCCUUCGGGGACAUCCGAUAAAAUUGGAACGAUACAGAGAAGAUUAGCAUGGCCCCUGCGCAAGGAUGACACGCAUAAAUCGAGAAAUGGUCCAAAUUUUUUUAAUUUCCCAAACCCCAUGUUUGAAUUCUUCCAUGGCUUCCACUGUCUCCUUCGUUCUACACAAAGAAGUUGCACAGGGAUUGCUGCUAGGACCUCCAUCAGCAUCAUGUGGGACCUGUGAAUUGCUCUUAGACUAGAAUAAAACUUCAUCAGUGGUUGUGGGUGUUUUUAUACUCUCUUUGGUUUUACAAGAACAAAGAAGCUUAGUUAUGAAGGCUGGUUGGUUUCUUCCACAACUGUGGUAGAGCAAAGCAAAAGAUGUUCUUUCAGUUCCGUAGAAACCUCGACUGAAGAAUUUAUUUGGAGGGAAAUAAUUUAUCCUCACCUAUCCAUCAGGUCAUGUGAGUUUGUGACCAAGUCCAAGUCUUAGCCAUACCAUUUUUUUAAUGGAAGCAUUCAGUACCUUAUUAUAAAAAAUCAAAAAAUAAAAAAUAAAAACCUUAAAAAUGCAAUAUUUUUUAUUAAAUGAUAGAAACAAUGCAGUUAAUCUAUAACAAUUUUUUU
This is a long non-coding RNA of Quercus robur (English oak), 648 nucleotides long. RefSeq lists it as uncharacterized. The transcript is spliced from 3 exons. The record is from RefSeq and is a predicted model, not a curated record. NCBI's taxonomy places the organism in Eukaryota, Viridiplantae, Streptophyta, Magnoliopsida, Fagales, Fagaceae.